RNAcentral lists this non-coding RNA (96 nucleotides) under uncultured Saccharofermentans sp. RNAcentral's name for it is "SAM riboswitch (S box leader)". It matches the Rfam family "SAM riboswitch aptamer (S box leader)". From Rfam's summary of the family: The SAM riboswitch is found upstream of a number of genes which code for proteins involved in methionine or cysteine biosynthesis in Gram-positive bacteria. The SAM riboswitch acts at the level of transcription termination control. The predicted structure consists of a complex stem-loop region followed by a single stem loop terminator region. Lineage: Bacteria; Bacillati; Bacillota; Clostridia; Eubacteriales; Oscillospiraceae. The record is from RNAcentral.
GCUUAUCAAGAGAGGUGGAGGGAUACGGCCCUGUGAAGCCCGGCAACCGCGGAGAGCAGCGGUGCCAAUUCCGUCAGGGAAACCUGAAAGAUGAGA